RNAcentral lists this ribosomal RNA (327 nucleotides) under uncultured cyanobacterium. RNAcentral's name for it is "bacterial SSU rRNA". It matches the Rfam family "Bacterial small subunit ribosomal RNA", at positions 379 to 721 of the family's 1533-position model. The record is from RNAcentral. Lineage: Bacteria; Bacillati; Cyanobacteriota.
AAGCCUGACGGAGCAAGACCGCGUGAGGGAGGACGGCUUUUGGGUUGUAAACCUCUUUUAUCAGGGAAGAAGAUCUGACGGUACCUGAUGAAUCAGCAUCGGCUAACUCCGUGCCAGCAGCCGCGGUAAUACGGAGGAUGCAAGCGUUAUCCGGAUUUAUUGGGCGUAAAGCGUCCGCAGGUGGCUAAUCAAGUCUGCUGUUAAAGCGUGGAGCUUAACUCCAUACAGGCAGUGGAAACUGGUUGGCUAGAGUCUGGUAGGGGUCACGGGAAUUCCCAGUGUAGCGGUGAAAUGCGUAGAUAUUGGGAAGAACACCAGCGGCGAAAG